GAUGAACGCUGGCGGCGUGCCUAACACAUGCAAGUAGAACGCUGAAGACUUUAGCUUGCUAAAGUUGGAAGAGUUGCGAACGGGUGAGUAACGCGUAGGUAACCUGCCUACUAGCGGGGGAUAACUAUUGGAAACGAUAGCUAAUACCGCAUAACAGCUUUUAACUCAUGUUAGGAGCUUGAAAGGUGCAAUUGCAUCACUAGUAGAUGGACCUGCGUUGUAUUAGCUAGUUGGUGAGGUAACGGCUCACCAAGGCGACGAUACAUAGCCGACCUGAGAGGGUGAUCGGCCACACUGGGACUGAGACACGGCCCAGACUCCUACGGGAGGCAGCAGUAGGGAAUCUUCGGCAAUGGGGGCAACCCUGACCGAGCAACGCCGCGUGAGUGAAGAAGGUUUUCGGAUCGUAAAGCUCUGUUGUAAGAGAAGAACGUGUGUGAGAGUGGAAAGUUCACACAGUGACGGUAACUUACCAGAAAGGGACGGCUAACUACGUGCCAGCCGCCGCAGUAA
This 513-nucleotide ribosomal RNA is filed under the name uncultured bacterium. RNAcentral describes it as "partial 16S ribosomal RNA". It matches the Rfam family "Bacterial small subunit ribosomal RNA", at positions 28 to 523 of the family's 1533-position model. The record is from RNAcentral.